This 75-nucleotide transfer RNA is filed under the name Candidatus Dojkabacteria bacterium. Its description in RNAcentral is "tRNA-Pro". It matches the Rfam family "tRNA". From Rfam's summary of the family: Transfer RNA (tRNA) molecules are approximately 80 nucleotides in length. The record is from RNAcentral.
CGGGGCAUGGCUCAGUUGGCUAAGAGCGCACGCUUCGGGUGCGUGAGGUCGCCGGUUCGAGUCCGGCUGCCCCGA